GAUGAACGCUGGCGGCGUGCCUAAUACAUGCAAGUCGAACGAAACUUCUUUAUCACCGAGUGCUUGCACUCACCGAUAAAGAGUUGAGUGGCGAACGGGUGAGUAACACGUGGGCAACCUGCCCAAAAGAGGGGGAUAACACUUGGAAACAGGUGCUAAUACCGCAUAACCAUAGUUACCGCAUGGUAACUAUGUAAAAGGUGGCUAUACUACCGCUUUUGGAUGGGCCCGCGGCGCAUUAGCUAGUUGGUAGGGUAAAGGCUUACCAAGGCAAUGAUGCGUAGCCGAAUUGAGAGGUUGAUCGGCCACAUUGGGACUGAGACACGGCCCAAACUCCUACGGGAGGCAGCAGUAGGGAAUCUUCCACAAUGGGCGAAAGCCUGAUGGAGCAACGCCGCGUGGGUGAAGAAGGUCUUCGGAUCGUAAAACCCUGUUGUUAGAGAAGAAAGUGCGUGAGAGUAGCUGUUCACGUUUCGACGGUAUCUAACCAGAAAGCCACGGCUAACUACGUG
RNAcentral lists this ribosomal RNA (512 nucleotides) under uncultured bacterium. RNAcentral's name for it is "partial 16S ribosomal RNA". It matches the Rfam family "Bacterial small subunit ribosomal RNA", at positions 28 to 507 of the family's 1533-position model. The record is from RNAcentral.